This 117-nucleotide ribosomal RNA is filed under the name Sinocyclocheilus anshuiensis. The record is from RNAcentral. Lineage: Eukaryota; Metazoa; Chordata; Actinopteri; Cypriniformes; Cyprinidae.
ACCAGCAGCCAUAUCACCCUGCAGCCCAAGACUGGUUGCCCACUGAAGCUAAGCAGGGUUGAGCCUGGUCAGUACCUGGAUGGGAGACCUCCUGGGAAAACUAGGUUGCUGCUGGAA